Long non-coding RNA from Pezoporus occidentalis (night parrot), 9525 nucleotides. RefSeq lists it as uncharacterized. The transcript is spliced from 4 exons. The record is from RefSeq and is a predicted model, not a curated record. Lineage: Eukaryota; Metazoa; Chordata; Aves; Psittaciformes; Psittacidae.
CCGUGUGGUGACGGCGGGUGCCAGGCGGGGCGCGGCGGUGGGAACGUGCCCCUUCCACCCGGCCGCCGCCUAGAAAAGUCCGAGCAACUUCGGAGCUGGGGCGAGGCCGUGAGCGGGCGGGCAGCAGUGCGGGGCUGUAGCAGAUGGCUGGGAGGGAAGCGCCUGCCUCCCGCACAGCAGAACGUCCGGACUGGCUGGGAAGAGCCGGAACGCGCUUUCGGCGAACAGCUGCCGCUGACAGAGACCGUGCAGACGAGAACCCAAAAUGUAGCAUCCGAAAUUAGCCUGUUUGUCUCCGUCUGCAAGCAUAGCGCUGGGCUCAAUGAAGAGAAUGUGGAUUGAUCAAAAAUAACGCUCUCCAUGUCUGUUUUCCUCCAUCUUCAUAACAAGAAUAAGACUUUCCCAGCAGUGUGGUGGUGAAGCUCAUGAUCAGCUGAAAUAUUUGAGUGCCUCAGAGAGAAUGUGGUGGUGAUGUGUGCUCUAGUUCCAUUUCAUGAUCUACUUGCCGCUUUUAACAUAGGAGUUGAAAAUUGCCAUGGGAAGAUUAUUUCUGAACUUGAUCAACUAAAGGGUUAAGAUCCUCUCCUGACAUUCAAGAAGGUGGUCCUGUUGCUUGCUCGUAGGCUGUGAAGUGUUGAUGUUUCUCUUCUAGCAAGCAAAAACCUGUCCUUCACUUCCAUGGAGCUGAACGAACAAAGAUCUCUUCACUUCUUGUUUCAACCAUCUCACCCAACAUUCGAUUCACCAGAUGACUUCUCCCACAGAAGUACCCCAUCAUUUUAUCACAACUCAAAAGCAGAGUAACAGAAAUCAGCAGUUGUUUCCCUGAAGAAAUGUCCUCUGUGCAAGCUCUUCAGCCAGCUCUUGGCAUUGUUUUAAAAUAAGAAAUAUUUUGUAAUCAGGUUCAAGUGGAAGCUAGUAUUCACUGAUACCUCCUUCUUCAUUUUAGGAAGGUUAAGUACUUCACUGUGUCACACUGGAAGUCCUAGCAGAUAAAGUGUCUGCAAGCAUUGCUGUGUCAAGCUGUCUUGAUAUACUUAAAAAAAUGCAGUAGGAAAAACGGAACGUAUUUUCUGCUCUGACAUGAGGAAGAAACUUACCAAGCAAUUGGAGAUGUCCCAUACAGGUAUUUUCUAGUCGAGGACCCAGGCUUGACUUUGGAGAUAGAUGUCUUUGAUGUCAACUUGCAUAAAGCAGCUAGUGCGGAGGAGCAAAUGCAGAAUUACCUUGUCUAUAGUGUGUAAAUGCAUCGACCAAGGCUGUGAUCAAAACGUAUAUUUGCCUGUCUAAACCUGAUGUAGGUGCUGGAUAUGAAGAGCUUUCAUCAGAAUAAGAAAUCACUCUGCAGCAUUUAAUUUUUGGCAAAGAAAAGUGAAGCUUUAAAGGCCUCUGGGGUAACAAAAUGAUGAUUAGGUUUAUGUUAAAUCAUUCUCCCCUCUGUCUUUUCAUGACUCCUUAGCUGCAAAAGGAAGAAACCCAGGAACAUGUGGUAGAAGAGAUGGGGCAGAACUUCUUUCUUUAUUAAAGAAAUUAACUUCUGGUGGGAUAGAAGAGACCAGAGAGGUAAAGUUGCAGUUUAUCCACUUGACUUCCUUGGCACAGUUUGAGUUUUCAACACUGCUGAUGGAAUCAGUUUUUUGAUUCUUCUGUGACUGAGAACUGAUGUGACCUGUGUGUUACCAUCUUUAAGGUAGAAACAGGCCCAAGAGAACAGGCUGUUAGCACGUAAGAGGGGUGAUUUGAGAGAGAAAAAAUACUUAGGACGGGCCUUUUUUGGUUCCUCUUAUUCUUCCCCAAACUAAGACGCAGUCUGUUGUUCUUAUGUUUACACAAGGUUCUUUGUCUCCAUUGCUUGUGAUUAUAUAGGAUGUUUUCUGUCAUUCUGAGAUGGGAGUGUACGUUGGUUAUGUGCUCCCUGCUGUCGUAUUAUAUAUGGGAAGUAAGAUUUCUUGGCAAAAAACCCCACGACUGGGAUAUGUAUUCUGUUCCACUUCAAAUCUGAAGCUCUUCUUAGUGCACCUUAUUCCGAGCUUGUGAUUUAGCAAAUGUGACUUACUAGCUUAAAGUAGUAUUUUUAAAUCUGGAUCAAAUAAAGGUAUAUAAAUUCUGUUAAUAGGUUUUGGGAGAUGGUAGAAUCAUUGGGGGUGGGGGUGGUGUCUUAGAUUUCUUCUUUUCUUCUGUGUUUCCUUUUAGAAAACUGCUGGAGAGAGUCAGACAGCCUGAAAAUGGCUGACAAAGACAACAACUGAAAUCCUUAAAUCUUAAUGAUUGAUUGCAAGGGCAGUAUUCUGAUACUUAAAAUGCAGUCACGUUUUAUGGGACCAAGUUCCAUUGCAGAGUAAGGGCAAGUGUUGAUGUUGAUCCUCCUUUUCAGAGUUAAGUCUGUGUUUAGAGUUGCAUUCUAACAAUACAAUUUAAUGACAGCUUUCCCAUUUGUUGUUUCCAUGAAGAAAAGAGCAGACAUGAAAGUGGUGGGCAAGACACCGCCUAUCAAAGUAAUUCCAACUGUAGUGAGCACUAAAAUUUUGUGUAACAUUGCAAUGAGCUGUUUGAUCAUAGUCAUGUUGAUCUUGAUGAGGCAACCACGAGCUUGCUGACUGCUUUUAAAAACAUAGGAUUGCUAAAUAUGGUCUGAAUUUUCUGCCAUCGGAGGCUACCAGAAAAGCACACUUCCUUUUAAGGCCUCCUUAGGUUGAAACUAAUGGGAUUUAAAGUAGAUGUCUGUAGAAGCAGGAUCCAUCUCUAAGUGAUGGAAAAUACUGUCAAUAUUGUAGGAUUGAUUGGAAGUGGUUGGUUGGUAUCUGGUGUAAGAAACAGCUGAUUUUUAGGUUUGGGAAUUUCCUUUUCUUCCUUCUGGUGUUAGGGCUAGCAGUUGUUUCUUGCGUAGCUUGAUGGCAAAAUAAUUGGGGGACACGAAGGUAUUUUUGUUUCCUGUGAACACGUACAAAAACAAAGCACUUGUCUGACUGGAGAGUAGCCACUUUAAGCUGUUUGAUUUAUUUUUCCAUAGAAAUAAUCCUCACCAUUUUGUAACCCUGCAUUGUAACAAAAAAUAGCUGACUUUUCCUGACUCUUCUCCAUGGCAAUGUAACAUUAGUUUUCAAGUUUCAUUUUAGAACAGAAUAUUUCUAGCAGGGCUAAGGAUCUGUGGCUUUCACAGAAGUAAUACCCAUGCAAGCCCAGAAGACCCCCACUGCCAUACAUUUCUGGCCAGCACCUUACAUAACUUCUGUGUUGGGAAAUGCUGCCUCAGCCUACUUUUUAUUGUUCCACAUUUUUUUCCUCUGUUGGUUGGAAAUCUUCCCAUGUGAAACAUGACAAAAACAAGGGGCAAGUGCAAUAGAACAUAUAUAUAUACAUAUAUAUAUUUUAAUACUUGUGGACAAAAUGAUGUUACAAGUUGUUUGAAAACAACAAAAUCACCAAUGUCUUCCAUUUUGAGAUGUGUAUAGUUCCAUAAGCAUUAGUGCUUUGUAGCAAACUGUAGUGCCAUGUUAGGAUCAGUGCAUGAGCCUAGUAGUAUUUUUACAAUUUGAGUGACAAAUUAUUAAUAAACAGUGAUAAUAAUGUAAUUAACAAUAGAAAGGAUACAAUAGAAAUGUCACAAACGUGGUCUAAACAUGCAGUAUCCUCCCUUUGACAAUGGCAACGCUAUCUUUAGAAAUGAAAUGCCUUUACCUAAUGGGCUUCAUAGAAUCAUAGUUGGCUUUGUGCUUUUAGUCUAUCUGUUCAACUGCAAUAGUAAGCUGCUGUAUGUAGGCAUCCAGGAUUCUCAUCUCUUAUUGGUGGGAUUCUUUUUAGUCUUUGUUUAAGGUGUUUUCUUCCAUGUGCAGCUUUUACAAUUUUAUUAUUACCCAUCCUGUUAUAGACUCAAAAGUAUGAAUAUGUUGAUGAGUUUAUGUGCAUUUUGUGCACAUCCCUGCUACUGUGAGAUCAUCUACAAUAUCCCUUAAGUGAUUUUUUUUCUUCACCUAUGACUAUAUAAUCGUUACAAUUAGUUAAACAUUAACCUCAUUAUAUAAUAAGUUGAUAUUUGCAAAAUGCUAUCUGCAUAAUAAAAGUAGAAGGCUUUUAUCCAUUAUUGCAGGAAUGGGGAACCUUUCUUGACUGAAGUCCUGUUGAAUCUUUUAGUACCUGUGGUGGAUCCUGCAUUUACACACAUCAUAAUAAAAGAGAUUGUAAUAAGGUCAAGGGCUGUUGAAAAACAGCACUGCAGACUGUAUCUGUGCAGCAGGCUAUCUCAAGCAUAUGGGUCAGAGAUUCCCCACCCCUGUAUUACUGAGAAAUCAAUAUCCUGUAUUUUAGGUAACUUCUAGUGUUGCUUUCCAGCUCUAAGCUCAAUUUUAGUAAUUUCUGUCUCUCCCUCUGCUUUUUUUUCAGAAGAAAAGUUUAGACCAGGGGAGGUCCAAAUGAUUUUGCUCUCAAUGGGCAGCUUGGACUGGUAUGAUUCCAGAUGUGCGAUGCUCUGUGGAUGGCAUCCUCUGAUUUCCUAGGAGAAAGUCUUUUAUUUGGUGACAGUAUUGCUCUUCACCCAUUUCUAUCUUUUACAAGAACAAAAUUCUCCUUCAACUUAGAGAGGAUACUGCAUUUUUUUUCCUGAGAUCUGCCUGUAAAUGGCCAUUGGGGGAGGGAGGGAAUGGGUAGCUUGGUUUUGAUAAGAUGUAUCUCUAAAGUGAUUAAUCAAGAAGCAUGUUCUUUGGUGCAAAAACAGUAACUGGGCAGAGUUAAUGUAUGUAACAGGGAAAGCAAACAAAUAGAAACCCCUAAACAACCCACCCUCUGCAUCUAAUUGAUUUCCAAGAAAAUUGGUCAGGGGGGCCAUUUACAGCAGCGCUCUGGGAACCUUUGCUGAAGAGUUAGGUUCAGUUUUCUGUGGAAGUAGCUGUACCAUUAAAUAUAGUAGUUUAGUGCUUGGGAGAAUCAAUUGAAAAAUACCUCUGAAACUGGAAUGCAAAAUAGCACAGUAUGUAGGGGGAAGAAUCCCUAAUGCAAACAAAGCCAUAAGAUGAUUUAAUAAGAAAAUAGAAUUUUAGUAGCAAUAACUGUUUUGCAUGUGAUAGUAAAUAACUUGCAUUAGCAAGACUGUACAGUAGAAUAAGUGGGUAAUAACCAAAUAAGUUUGUGGCGCUCUGUGCUGCAUGGAGUUGCGUGAAGAGUCUCUUCCUGAGAACAUGGGUGAAUUCCUCUUCUGUUCCUCUCAUUGGAGGGAAUUUAGCACUUGAAUACAUUGUUAAUGAACCUGAUAUAUAUAUAUAAACAAAAAAGCUCUGUGACAGAUCUGAAGCACUGCAGUGAGUGCUGGGGAAGAGCAGACAGUUCUUUUUGAGGGGAUAGCUGAAGUUUUCUUCUAGUUUUCUCUCUUUUGUAGCUUAGCACUUCUGUUUCUCUGAGAAGAAACUAAACCCUUCCAAAUACUAGAGUGUGAUGGGAACCUGAUUCUCAAGUUAAAAGCUUUUAUUGUGGGACGUACUUUUUGUUUUCUUUGCUUAAAAAGACCAAUCUGAGAUGGUUUUAAAUAAGAAAUUAGAGAACACUUGACACUCAAACCAUUUGUUACAGCCCCAGCACAACUGUAGAGGUCUAAAAAUGUUGCUUUACAGGAAAAUAAUUUUAGCCUUGCUAAACACUGUUUGAAACUGUAAUUGAUUUCUGUUGAUGCCUGAAGUUUUGCAGAGGCAAGUACUGUGGAGCCUCUGGUAAAGCAUUAUUAUCUACAGCUGUAGCCUCUGCACCCAGCAAAGUAUUUCCUAUCAAAGGGUUACAUAAAAGAGCCACAGGAGUUCUAAAAUGUUCAUAGUUGAUGCUGCUUUCAGUGCAGAGAGGUGCAGAGACAACAUGGCCUAACAGAUAGUAACUCUGUUCAGAACACAUUAUUACAUCAGAGGUUUGAAUCUGUCUGGCUGGAUUUCUUCUAGGAAGCUGAGGCAAUUUGAAGUCUAACUUCCAGCUGAAAGGAAGCUUCUAGUGUUCUGAAAUUAUGGAGGUGAAGCCCUUUGGCUCUUCAGAAGUUGAGAAUGGCACUGUGAGGGCUGUGAGCAUUUUUGCAGUAUAAAGUAACCAAAAUAAGCAUGAGAAUGUCGAAGUGUUGGAUAAUCUGGAAUAUCUGUAUGAAAAGCUAAUUGAUGUGGGAGGUUGUAAUCCACUCAAAUUCUAGCUAAUGAAUUAUUGAUCAAAUUGGCAGCUGCCCAUAGGGGACUUUAAUUUGAUUGUUAUCUGCUUACAUUAGAGAAAUUAUAAAUUUAUUCUGGACUGUGGUCAGCAAAUACAUUUCCAUAAUAAUGAAAACAUGGUCAUGCUCCUGCUUCAGAAGUAUGAACUUUGUGGCUGAAUAGAAUUCUAGGGUUUCUUCAUUCAGAGAAGCAUAAGGAGAGUGAGGUAAGAAAUCAAGACUGCUGUAGCCAGGCAAGCUAUUUGCAUAUUCUUCCCAGAUCAGCCUUAUUAUAGUGGUAUGUAGUCUGUUGUCUACUAGACUAGAAAUCGCUGUUCACAGCAGCAAAAAGAAUCCCUUUGCCUUUUGGCUCUUGUACUAUGGCAUGACUUUUGCUCCAACCCCUUUUAUUACACUGCUUCUAAAACUAAAUGAAAGUGUUAGAUGCAACCACGUUGCAGUGUGGGGUAUCAAAGGUGUAAUGACCAGCACUGAUACGCCUCUUCACAGAGCUAAACCCAGCUGAUUACAAGUACGUGCUGUUUCCACAUCCAUUAGUGCUGCCACAGAAGGUCUAGCCAGAACUUGUGUUGGGAAUUGCACCUUCAGGAAUUGCACCUUCUGCAAGUGAGGAUGAUUGUCAAAUUCAGGACAAAAAAAGUCUUGCAAAGGCUCCUUGAUAGUGAGUGAGAAGAAAUUUUACGGAGCUUCAGGACACUGACAUGUUACACAAGGGUUACGCUGUCAAGAGCUCACACUGGUUUUUGGGCAGGAAAAGGAAAAAUAUGGAAGAACAGUUUCUGAUGGAUAAUCAGGCUUGAAAAUAACUGCUUCCUGCAUCCCUAGGAAACUGUCUGGUCUUCCUCCAAAACCAAGGUUCCUGCUUGCUAUUCAGGUACAGAGCUGCAUAAUGGCAAUUCAGGUUAGAUUCCAUUUAAUUUCUUUUACUGAAUGAUCUAGCAUUGUGCCCCUGUAGUGCUUUGACUGGCAGACACACAAAGGCCAACAGUUGAACCAGGGUGUCUCAUUUAACAGUGCAGAACACCAACAAUGGAUUCUUAUGUCUCUUCCCUUUCAGUCUGCUCUAUACUUUCUCCUGAGUUUUGGAGAAGGUGUCAAUGUUCAUGAUGUGGGCAGGGUGUGUUUCUGUGUCUGAGCCUAUGUACCAGGUUGUAAUAUAGACAGGUUCCCUACAGCUUUACAACAUCUAAAGUUAAAGAUAAAAAGUAAUUUAUUGUUUAUUGUGUCCUAUGUAAAUCCUGUGUGCUUCUCUCCACUUCCCCUCCAAGUGAGUGUGCUUGCAGGUCAAAUUAAAGGUGUCUAGUUCGUAAUGCCUUGGGCAUGAAGAACUGCAUGGAGAAACUGAAGGCAAGUGGCACAGGCCCACAAACCAAAUCUUAGAGCUAGUAUUCUAAUUAUGCAUGAUUCAAAAUGUCUAGUGUAACGUAGUUAUUACCAGUAAAUUGAGAUAUGCAUUUAUACAUAAUGAAGCAAUAGGAAUUAAUAUACCAAUAGCUUGAACUUCUUGCUUUGGUUCUCAGACUUUGGGUUUUUUGGUUUUUAGAGAAUGUGCUGCCCUUGUAGAGAAAGGGGCAGAAUGUAUAGGUAGGGACAGAAGCAUGGCACCAAAACUGUAAAUCAGGAACUAGGAUCAGCAGAACUCGCCUUUAUAACCUCUAGUCUGGUUCAAAGUAGUGUCCUGAGCAUGUAAAAAGCAGGGCAUGGACUAAGCAUGUUUAGGGGCGAGAUGAGGUUUCUCACCUGCUGCAGCUGUAGCAAGGAAAAGGGUGCAGAGUUUCUUACAAUGUGCAGGGGGGAACAACUGGUGGGGGAAAAAACAAACAACAAGCAAACAAGUAAUGGAAAUCACAGAUUCGACUUGAGUGUAGUACUUACCAGAGAGUAGAUGAUAAACUUGCUUGUGGUGAGAGAAAUUAUUUGAAGACUGAAAUUAAUAAGCACAGUAUGUACAUUUCAGGUGUUGAAUAGCUUUUUAGUAGACAGUAUUUUCAGGUAACUCUCUAGCCACAUAGGCAGCUGUACUGAAGCGUACUGGUACCAGCCAGCAAUAAUGGCACCUGCAGGAAUGAACCCGAAAAUACUGGUAAUCUUCUUGUAUAGUUUUUAAGUUCUUUAAAGAGAUUUUUAAAAGCAGUAACUGCGAUUUGAGCACUGAAGGUCUUUCUCUUCUGCAACACAGGUUGCAAUAGUGUUGUUUUUCCUUUAUUUCACUUACUAAAUAAAAGGGAAUUUGGGUGCCAUCUUUCUGUAGGCUUUUAGUGUGUUCUCUGAAAUACUUCUCAGGUCCUUCAGUGGACAGUGAAGUGAAUUUCUGCUGGCAGUUUGAAAAUAACCUAGAAGUGUGGCAUAGCCUAUGUCACUAAUACUUUUCCAAGUUUAACCUUGUGUUCAGACAUGUAGAAUACUAGCUUUUAGUGCCGAUUUCCAUACUUCUAGCUUAGCUUAGUUUUGUAGGUGGGCUUAACUUGUGCAGAAUACUUCUCCAUGUACAGGGGCACAAUCCUCUGAAAUAGAAAGUGUCUUGGAGGAAGAAAUUGUGUGUCAAGUUAACUCCUGUUCAUGCUUCAUAGCCAACCAUCCACAAAGCACCGUGAUUUGGGUUAGAAUGGGGGUUGUGUUUUUCUCAUGAAUGCUCUUUUUAGACUUAGAAGAAUUGCCAAAUGAAGCUAGGAGUGUUCUAAGAGAAGAUGACUUUUAUGGUGUCGGAAGUUAGACUAAAUGAAAUCCUUUGAGCCAACUUCUUCAAGCAAAAAGGGAAUUUGUAGAACAAGUUUAGCUCAGUGGUUAACCAUGGUCACCUAGUUCUUAGUGGGUAUUUUUUAGAACACUUUGCAUGCUUUUAAACUUUCAUGUUUUCUUUGGUGUGGUGAGUAAGCAGUUGUAUCCUUUGUUAAUGCUUAUUCCCCUCAAUAUAAAACCUGGGAAUAAGCUACUUUAGGAUGUCAGUGAAGAUGAUCUCCUUUUCAAAAGCAUGGUACAACAGCAAAGGAGAAGUAUUAGUGUUAGAUUCUUAAAGAUUACUUUAGUACUUAAAGAACAAACUAGAAAAUACUUCUUAUGUUGAACUUCUGAUGCUGUGCUCACAUGGGUCAGUAAUUAUUGGUGUCACUAGGAACUAUGUAUUCCCGUUGCACAUGUUUUACAUGGUAACAGUGAAAGAAUGUCUCCCUGCAAAAUCUGAUGUUUUUCCAAAAGGCAGCUUGCUUUUAUAUCUAUGCAUCUUUGAGGAUUUCAAGAUAAGAUUUUAUUCUUUUGACACUGUAAAGAGGAACUGUUUAAAAAUGAACUUGGAAACUCUGCACCUGUAUACAAAUUUUUUAGCAAUAAAGCAGCACAGGCUGAGAAUGCACUAAAAA